GGUGAGAUGGCCGAGUUGGUUAUGGCGCCAGGUUAAGGUUUCUUAACAUUGUUUCCUGGUCACGAAAGUGGCGUGGGUUCGAGUCCCACUCUCAUCA
Molecule: transfer RNA, 97 nt
Filed under: Phaeosphaeriaceae sp. SRC1lsM3a
Lineage: Eukaryota; Fungi; Ascomycota; Dothideomycetes; Pleosporales; Phaeosphaeriaceae
Description: Stagonospora sp. SRC1lsM3a tRNA
Rfam family: tRNA
About the family: Transfer RNA (tRNA) molecules are approximately 80 nucleotides in length.
Source: Rfam by way of RNAcentral